UGAUUAUUAUCAUUUAGUAGUGGGAAGAU
RNAcentral lists this non-coding RNA (29 nucleotides) under Mus musculus (house mouse). Lineage: Eukaryota; Metazoa; Chordata; Mammalia; Rodentia; Muridae. The record is from RNAcentral.